UAGCCAUUGAACUGCGCAAUCAUUUGG
This 27-nucleotide small RNA is filed under the name Bombyx mori (domestic silkworm). RNAcentral's name for it is "ovarian small RNA-22344". Lineage: Eukaryota; Metazoa; Arthropoda; Insecta; Lepidoptera; Bombycidae. The record is from RNAcentral.